Molecule: ribosomal RNA, 301 nt
Filed under: uncultured bacterium
Lineage: Bacteria
Description: partial 16S ribosomal RNA
Rfam family: Bacterial small subunit ribosomal RNA
Source: RNAcentral
CAGCAGCCGCGGGAAAACAGAGGGUGCGAGCGUUAAUCGGAUUUACUGGGCGUAAAGCGUGCGUAGGCGGCUUUUUAAGUCGGAUGUGAAAUCCCUGAGCUUAACUUAGGAAUUGCAUUCGAUACUGGGAAGCUAGAGUAUGGGAGAGGAUGGUAGAAUUCCAGGUGUAGCGGUGAAAUGCGUAGAGAUCUGGAGGAAUACCGAUGGCGAAGGCAGCCAUCUGGCCUAAUACUGACGCUGAGGUACGAAAGCAUGGGGAGCAAACAGGAUUAGAUACCCCUGUAGUCCCUGUCUCUUAUAC